GCCUGCCUUGGCCUCUCAAAAUGCUGGGAUUACAAGUGUGAGCCACUGGGUCUGGCCCUAUUUUUCUUUCUUAUAAUCAGACUUUACCUAUUUUCAGUUUCUAUCGACUUUUUGUUUUUGCCUUAAAGAAAUAUUAGCAACCUCCCCAGGGUUUAUAGUCGAGGAGGAGUGGGUGCCAUGGUGGUUCUACUGGAGACUACUUUGAGCAGUGUGGUUGUUGAUUUGUACACUGAGCAGCAGCCUUGCAACUGUGAACUUUUUGAGAGCAGGUACCACGGUUUAAGGACAUUUGUGAUGGCAGUGCCAAGCAUCUGGAAGGUACUCGCCUGCUUUAAUUUCUUGAGAUUGUACAAAAUAAAAUAUUACAAUUAUUGCCUUAUUCACAGUGUACAAAGGGAUUUUAUCAUACAAACUGUUGAUCCUAUAGGGACUGGUCAUGGAGGAGAGUCUAUUUUUGGCCAAUUGUAUGGUGAUCAAGCGAGCUUUUUUGAGACAGAAAACGUCCCAAGAGUUAAACACAAGAAGAAAGGCACAAUGUCCUUGGUGAAUAAUGGCAGUGAUCAACAGGGAUCUCAGUUUCUUAUCACUACAGGAGAAAAUCUAGAUUACCUUGAUGGUACCAUACAGUAUUUGGUGAGGUGACAGAAGGCAUUGACAUAAUUAAGAAAAUUAAUGAGACCUUUGUUGACAAGGACUUUGUACCAUAUCAGGAUAUCAGGAUAAAUUAUACAGUGAUUUUAGAUGAUCCGUUUUGAUGGCACUCCUCAUUUAUUAAUCCCUGAUCUAUCACCAGAACCUACAAGGGAACAAUUAAAGAGUGGUAGAAUUGAUGCAGAUGAAGAAAUUGAUCAUUUCAAAGGAAGGUCAGCUGAAGAAGUAGAAGAAAUAAAGGCAGAAAAAGAAGCUAAAACUCAGACUUUACUUUUAGAAUGGUAAGAGACCUACCUGAUGCAGAUAUUAAACCUCCAGAAAAAUCUGCUGUGUUUGUAAAUUGAAUCCAGUGACUACAGAUGAGGAUCUGGAUAUAAUACUCUCUAGAUUUGGGCCAAUAAGAAGUUGUGAAGUUAUCUGGGACUGGAAGACAGGAGAAACCCUCUGUUAUGCUUUUCUUUUUCUUUCUUUCUGUCUUGUCUUGUCUUUUUCUUUUCUUUUCUUUUUUCUUUCUUUUGAG
This is an RNA transcript of Cercocebus atys (sooty mangabey), 1171 nucleotides long. It is a transcript of the gene named peptidyl-prolyl cis-trans isomerase-like 4 pseudogene, with no coding region annotated. NCBI's taxonomy places the organism in Eukaryota, Metazoa, Chordata, Mammalia, Primates, Cercopithecidae. The transcript has a single exon. The record is from RefSeq and is a predicted model, not a curated record.